Molecule: ribosomal RNA, 783 nt
Filed under: uncultured bacterium
Lineage: Bacteria
Description: bacterial SSU rRNA
Rfam family: Bacterial small subunit ribosomal RNA
Source: RNAcentral
UGCCUGCCGGCGACCGGCGCACGGGUGAGUAACACGUAUGGAAUCUGCCCGUAGCAGGGGGAUAAGCGGAAGAAAUUCCGUCUAAUACCGCGUAAUAACUCCGAGAGGCAUCUCCUGGGGUUUAAAGGGUAACACCGGCUACGGAUGGCCAUGCGGCGCAUUAGCUAGUCGGCGGGGUAACGGCCCACCGAGGCGACGAUGCGUAGGGGUUCUGAGAGGAAGGUCCCCCACACUGGUACUGAGACACGGACCAGACUCCUACGGGAGGCAGCAGUGAGGAAUAUUGGUCAAUGGCCGAGAGGCUGAACCAGCCAAGUCGCGUGAGGGAAGACGGCCCUACGGGUUGUAAACCUCUUUUGUCGGGGAGCAAAAGCCGGACGUGUCCGGCUGUGAGAGUACCCGAAGAAAAAGCAUCGGCUAACUCCGUGCCAGCAGCCGCGGUAAUACGGAGGAUGCGAGCGUUAUCCGGAUUUAUUGGGUUUAAAGGGUGCGCAGGCGGAUUUUUAAGUCAGCGGUCAAAUCGUGGGGCUCAACCCCAUCCAGCCGUUGAAACUGGGGAUCUAGAGUGUGCGAGAGGUAUGCGGAAUGCGUGGUGUAGCGGUGAAAUGCAUAGAUAUCACGCAGAACCCCGAUUGCGAAGGCAGCAUACCGGUGCACAACUGACGCUCAGGCACGAAAGCGUGGGUAUCGAACAGGAUUAGAUACCCUGGUAGUCCACGCAGUAAACGAUGAAUGCUACCUGUUUGGCCAGAUUGAAGGCUGAGCGGGACAGCGAAAGCGUUA